CCCUUAGACGUUCUGGGCCGCACGCGCGCUACACUGACACAGGCAACGAGCUUUCCUUUACCGAAAGGUAUGGGUAAUCUUUUGAAACUGUGUCGUGCUGGGGAUAGAUCCUUGCAAUUUUUGAUCUUAAACGAGGAAUUCCUAGUAAGCGCGAGUCAUCAACUCGCGUUGAUUACGUCCCUGCCCUUUGUACACACCGCCCGUAGCUACUACCGAUUGAAUGGCUUAGUGAGGCCUCAGGAUCCGCGCUUAAUGUGUGGAGAAUUUGGACAAACUACGUCAUUUAGAGGAAGUAAAAGUCGUAACA
This 307-nucleotide ribosomal RNA is filed under the name uncultured eukaryote. RNAcentral describes it as "partial 18S ribosomal RNA". It matches the Rfam family "Eukaryotic small subunit ribosomal RNA", at positions 1470 to 1796 of the family's 1831-position model. The record is from RNAcentral.